RNAcentral lists this unclassified non-coding RNA (307 nucleotides) under plant metagenome. RNAcentral's name for it is "partial contains 5.8S ribosomal RNA, internal transcribed spacer 2, and large subunit ribosomal RNA". The stretch from base 1 to 105 matches the Rfam family "5.8S ribosomal RNA", at positions 50 to 154 of the family's 154-position model. The record is from RNAcentral.
GAAAUGCGAUAAGUAGUGUGAAUUGCAGAAUUCAGUGAAUCAUCGAAUCUUUGAACGCACAUUGCGCCCCUCGGUAUUCCGUGGGGCAUGCCUGUUCGAGCGUCAUCUACACCCUCAAGCUCUGCUUGGUGUUGGGCGUCUGUCCCGCCUCCGCGCGCGGACUCGCCCCAAAUGCAUUGGCAGCGGUUCCUUGCCCCCCUCUUUGCGCAGCACAUUGCCAUUCGAGGCGGCGGCGGCCCGCGUCCAACAAGCUCAACCCCCCCGUCUUUGACCUCGGAUCAGGUAGGGAUACCCGCUGAACUUACGC